Molecule: long non-coding RNA, 624 nt
Organism: Oxyura jamaicensis (ruddy duck)
Lineage: Eukaryota; Metazoa; Chordata; Aves; Anseriformes; Anatidae
Exons: 4
Source: RefSeq, a predicted model, not a curated record
CUAGAAAGAAAAUCUACUGCUUAAACUUUCCUUAUCUCUAUCAUUUAGAAGGGCUUUGAUUUUGGUAGAAAUAUUUAAAUUCUUUUGUCUCCCGCACAGUAUAUUGUCUUUAUUCACUUUAUGCCAACUAUUUUAUGGUACUCAGAAGUUUUAUGGUACUCCAAAUAAACGGGUCUGACAGUAGUCUGCCUUACCAUCAGCCUUCUUCACUCUUAAAGGCAACAUCGCUUAAUGCUGGAGCCUAAUUUGUCAGUGAGAGUGUGACUGACAUGUAUCAGAGCCUCUUCAAGGUUGCUGCACCACUUGCUCAAUUUCACUUUCCGAGUGGCUUGAAAACCUUGUCAGAUGAUUUUCAGCAGGAGUGAUUCCUUCAGUGCUGCCACUGCCAGUGAACAUUACAGUUGCAUCUCCUUCCAUACAAGCCACUACAGCAGAGCAGAUCCUCUGGCUGUGUUUCCUGUCAUCAGGUGUCACCCCAGCUAGAUGUCUGCAAGGAAGCGAUAUUCUACCUUCGGAAAAUCUAAUUUCCGGAUACCUUUAGAAAUGUUGGCUUGUAGGCAAUUUUCAAAGACAUAACAUUUGACUUUGCUGAUGCAUGUGACCCCGAAGUUUUGACAAAAUCUU